Molecule: ribosomal RNA, 588 nt
Filed under: uncultured bacterium
Lineage: Bacteria
Description: bacterial SSU rRNA
Rfam family: Bacterial small subunit ribosomal RNA
Source: RNAcentral
UCCUACGGGAGGCAGCAGUGGGGAAUAUUGGACAAUGGGCGCAAGCCUGAUCCAGCCAUGCCCGCGUGUGUGAAGAAGGCCCUCGGGUUGUAAAGCACUUUCAGCGAGGAAGAACGCCUAGCGGUUAAUACCCGCUAGGAAAGACAUCACUCGCAGAAGAAGCACCGGCUAACUCCGUGCCAGCAGCCGCGGUAAUACGGAGGGUGCAAGCGUUAAUCGGAAUUACUGGGCGUAAAGCGCGCGUAGGUGGCUUGAUAAGCCGGUUGUGAAAGCCCCGGGCUCAACCUGGGAACGGCAUCCGGAACUGUCAAGCUAGAGUGCAGGAGAGGAAGGUAGAAUUCCCGGUGUAGCGGUGAAAUGCGUAGAGAUCGGGAGGAAUACCAGUGGCGAAGGCGGCCUUCUGGACUGACACUGACACUGAGGUGCGAAAGCGUGGGUAGCAAAACAGGAUUAGAUACCCUGGUAGUCCACGCCGUAAAACGAUGUCGACCAGGCCGUUGGGUGCCUAGCGCACUUUGUGGCGCAAGUUAACGCGAUAAGUCGACCGCCUGGAGAGUACGGCCGCAAGGUUAAAACUCAAAUGAAUUG